GACGAACGCUGGCGGCGUGCCUGACACAUGCAAGUCGGACGGUUCUUGUAUCUUCAAGCUUGCUUGCAGGUGCAAGGAUAGUGGCGGACGGGUGAGUAACGCGUGAACAUCUACCCAUUGGAGGGGGACAACCCGUCGAAAGGCGGGCUAAUACCGCGUAAGCCGCGAGGUGAGAGGCUGCCUAUUGGUGGCCGCCGAUGGAUGGGUUCGCGUCCUAUCAGCUGGUUGGUGGGGUAACGGCCUACCAAGGCGAGGACGGGUAGCCGGUCUGAGAGGAUGGCCGGCCACACUGGAACUGAGACACGGUCCAGACUCCUACGGGAGGCAGCAGUGGGGAAUAUUGGUCAAUGGGCGAGAGCCUGAACCAGCCAAGUCGCGUGAAGGAAGAAGGUUCUAUGGAUUGUAAACUUCUUUUGCAGGGGAAUAAAGGACGGUACGUGUACUGUUUUGUAUGUACCUUGCGAAUAAGGAUCGGCUAACUCCGUG
RNAcentral lists this ribosomal RNA (486 nucleotides) under uncultured bacterium. Its description in RNAcentral is "bacterial SSU rRNA". It matches the Rfam family "Bacterial small subunit ribosomal RNA", at positions 28 to 507 of the family's 1533-position model. The record is from RNAcentral.